Molecule: transfer RNA, 88 nt
Filed under: Lithothamnion sp.
Lineage: Eukaryota; Rhodophyta; Florideophyceae; Hapalidiales; Hapalidiaceae
Description: tRNA-Leu
Rfam family: tRNA
About the family: Transfer RNA (tRNA) molecules are approximately 80 nucleotides in length.
Source: RNAcentral
AUAGGUAUGAUGAAAUUUGGUAGACAUGUUAGGUUUAGAUUCUAAUAACAUUUAAUAAGUUAUGAGGGUUCGAAUCCCUCUACCUAUA